UGGCCUACUGGUUAAGGCUAUGGAUCACCAAUCCAGAGACGGCGGGUUCGAUUCCCGU
Aedes albopictus (Asian tiger mosquito) is the source of this 58-nucleotide non-coding RNA. NCBI's taxonomy places the organism in Eukaryota, Metazoa, Arthropoda, Insecta, Diptera, Culicidae. The record is from Rfam.